AUGCUCAGAGCCUGGUUCAUGGUCUGGCCGGCCGAAUGGGAAUCCACACCACCUGUGGUGCUGUGCUUCAUUCAAGAUACAAAGGCUGAAGCACCCCUCUCUAAGCUGCACCUCAUGAAAUCUCCCAUUCUCCCCUGCUCUACUGAGAUACAACUUCACAAGGCCGUUUUGUCAAGAAGUCAUUUAACUUUCAUUUGGAGCCUUGGGACUACCAUUUUUCUCAGAGGAAGAAGCCAACCAAUUUUUGAGUCUUAAGAGACAAACACCUUAUUUAGACUACUUGCAACUAACUAGCAGCCAGAGUACUCUGGGUGAACAGGUAUCCAUUCUUUUCUAAGAUAUUGUAGUGACGUUUGGAGAGAACUAUUAUGAUCUGAAAGGUAGAAAGUUUACUUUUCCUAAAUAUUUUGGCUGACUUUGAGUCAGCCUGAAUUUCCCAGUAUAAUAUGAUAAUACUUCUUUCAGCAAUUUACAAAGAAGAAGCCAUAUCAGUUUGUCUUCAUACAUUGGCAACAGAAAAAGGGUGGGGGGCGGGGGAGAGAAGAAUGGAACAGAACAAAAUGUUGUAGAACUUUAAAGACUAACACAUUUAUUUCAUUGUGACCUUUCAUGGAUCAAAGUCCACUCCCUCAUAAACUGUUAGCCUUUAAAGUGCUACAGUAUUUUUAGUAUUUGCCCUACUUUUCUCCUUCAUGGAUUGCUGCCUUGUCCCUACUUUUCUUUUGUCAACAAGUACCCCUUUCAGGGACUUUCACAAAUGUAAAAAAGGUGGCUACUCGUGUGUGUGUGUGUGUGUGUGUGUGUGUGUGUGUGUGUGUGUGUGAGAGAGAGAGAGAGAGAGAGAGAGAGCCCAAUGUUUACAUAUAGGGAAGUCUUCUUAUAUUCAGAGAAGGUGCCACCAGCAAGCUAGAGUGCAGUGACGUUGCCUUAUUUGAAUUAGAUCCCAGAAUCUGUCCAUGAUGGCUGAGGACUGUAGUCCAAAUAUAGCUGUUAAAAUCUUUCAUGUCCCUUUCUCAUAUGUUCCCAGUACCAUGUUCUAAACAGCUGAAAGGAGCUGGGAAUUCACCUAAAACUGUUAUUCUGAGGAUUAAUUAAAUAAGCACCGUGAAGCAUUUUACAUUAUUGACUCAGCUAUCAGACUAAUCACUGUGGCUGUGUACUCUUAAUCAUAACAUCCUUAUAUACCAAUAGAGGAGCUAUUGGGGGCCUCUUAGGAACAGUUGAGCUUCCUAAUGUGGUCAAGCCUGAAUGUUCCCAUGGAGAUAACUAGUAAAACCUAUAUUUGCCUUAUUUUAAAUGGUCAGUUGAGAAGUUCACCAUGGAUUUAACUGUAGACAGUUUUGUAACUAGCCCUUUAGCAUGCAGGAAAGAAGGAAAGAACAUAAUUUUUUUAUAAAUUUUGCAGGACAUCAGUAAUAGUCCAUUAAACAUGGACUAUUUUUAAGUUCACUUUCCCUGCCCUUCUGCUGAGGAAGUUAUUAUUUUAUCAGUAUCCUGAAGUGGCUUACUUAUUAAGUCACUUCACAAUACUGGCAAAUUCAAUUUCAAAAGCUUGCUUUGGAUUGGCUCCAGCGAUCACAAGCACUGGAACUGAUCCAAAACAGAGCAAUCCUACCUGCACCAAGAAAGUAGAAGUAGAAAAGUAUGGAUAGGAUUGCUCUGGAGGUGGGCUGGUUUGCUCUAACAAAGACAUCCUAUAGUCUGGUAGCAAACCAAAAAGCAGGCUAAACGCAUUUGUAAUCAGUCUCAUAAUCUUCUAUUAAACUUGAAGUCUGUGUCAUAUGUAAAUGUUGUAGAGAACAUGUUUCUGGCUAAACAAAUGCGUAUUCUGCCCUAAACAGGUUAGUGAAGCCUGGACUACACUGAAAAACACAGGACAAUAUUACAUGGAUCUGGGAUAUUCUGUAUUCAGUACCGACACAGCCAGGUAAUUCAUAUGGGAAUAAAAAUAGGUGAUGGCUGGUUUGGCUGUAGUAC
This 1977-nucleotide long non-coding RNA is filed under the name Pogona vitticeps (central bearded dragon). RNAcentral's name for it is "lncRNA (ENSPVIG00000008767.1)". Lineage: Eukaryota; Metazoa; Chordata; Lepidosauria; Squamata; Agamidae. The record is from RNAcentral.